RNAcentral lists this ribosomal RNA (449 nucleotides) under uncultured bacterium. Its description in RNAcentral is "partial 16S ribosomal RNA". It matches the Rfam family "Bacterial small subunit ribosomal RNA", at positions 29 to 523 of the family's 1533-position model. The record is from RNAcentral.
AACGAACGCUGGCGGCAUGCCUAACACAUGCAAGUCGAACGAGAUCUUCGGGUCUAGUGGCGCACGGGUGCGUAACGCGUGGGAAUCUGCCCUUUGGUUCGGAAUAACAGUUGGAAACGACUGCUAAUACCGGAUGAUGACGAAAGUCCAAAGAUUUAUCGCCAGAGGAUGAGCCCGCGUAGGAUUAGCUAGUUGGUGUGGUAAAGGCGCACCAAGGCGACGAUCCGUAGCUGGUGUGAGAGGAUGAUCAGCCACACUGGGACUGAGACACGGCCCAUGCUCCUACGGGAGGCAGCAGUGGGGAAUAUUGAACAAUGGGCGAAAGCCUGAUCCAGCAAUGCCGCGUGGGUGAUGAAGGCCUUAGGGUUGUAAAGCUCUUUUACGCGGGAUGAUAAUGACAGGACCGAGAGAAUAAGCUCCGCCUAACUCCGUGCCAGCCGCCGCCGUAA